AUGGCGCCAAAAGCGAAGAAGGAAGCUCCUGCCCCUCCUAAAGCAGAAGCCAAAGCAAAGGCUUUAAAGGCAGUGUUGAAAGGUGUCCACAGCCACAUAAAAAAGAAGAUCCACAAGAAAAGAAGAUCCACCCACCUUCUGGCCGCCCAAGACACUGUGACUCCUGAGGCAGCCCAGAUAUCUUCAGAAGAGCGCCCCUGGGAGAAACAAGCUUGAUCACUAUGCUAUCAUCAAGUUUCUGCUGACCCCUGAGUCUGCCAUGAAGAAGACAGAAGGCAGCAACACACUCAUGUUCAUUGUGGAUGUUAAAGCCAAAAAGCACCAGAUCAAAUAGGCCGUGAAGAAGCUCUGUGACAUUGAUGUGGCCGCAGUCAACACCCUGAUCAGCCUGAUGGAGAGAAGAAGGCAUAUGUUCAACUGGCUCCUGAUUACGAUGCUUUGGACGUUACCAACGAAAUUGGGAUCAUCUAA
RNAcentral lists this long non-coding RNA (471 nucleotides) under Homo sapiens (human). Its description in RNAcentral is "non-protein coding lnc-XAF1-2:1". The record is from RNAcentral. Lineage: Eukaryota; Metazoa; Chordata; Mammalia; Primates; Hominidae.